GUGCUUCCUUCCGCAGCACACAUGCUAAAAUUGGAAUGAUAACAGAGAAGAUUAGCAUGGCUCCUUCACAAGGAUGACACAUAAAAUUUAUGAAAUGUUUCAUAUUUUU
Saimiri boliviensis boliviensis (Bolivian squirrel monkey) is the source of this 109-nucleotide small nuclear RNA. NCBI's taxonomy places the organism in Eukaryota, Metazoa, Chordata, Mammalia, Primates, Cebidae. The record is from Ensembl.